GAUGAAGAACGUAGCGAAAUGCGAUACUUGGUGUGAAUUGCAGAAUCCCGUGAACCAUCGAGUCUUUGAACGCAAGUUGCGCCCGAAGCCAUUAGGCCGAGGGCACGCCUGCCUGGGCGUCACACGUCGUUGCCCCCCCAUCUACUCCUUCGGGAUUGCGGGGGGCGGAUGAUGGCCUCCCGUGCGCCUCGUCGCGCGGUUGGCAUAAAUGCCAAGUCCUCGGCGACGCACGCCACGACAAUCGGUGGUUGCGAAACCUCGGUUGCCCGUCGUGUGCGGUCGUCGCGCAUCGAGGGCUCGAAAAAAUUGUCGGGCUCCGGCUCGGCUUUCAACGCGACCCCAGGUCAGGCGGGGUUACCCGCUGAGUUUAAGCAUAUCAAUAAGCGGAGGA
Molecule: unclassified non-coding RNA, 391 nt
Filed under: soil metagenome
Description: partial contains 5.8S ribosomal RNA, internal transcribed spacer 2, and large subunit ribosomal RNA
Rfam family: 5.8S ribosomal RNA (bases 1-122)
Source: RNAcentral